ACUCCUACGGGAGGCAGCAGUGGGGAAUAUUGGACAAAUGGGGGCAACCCGUGCAUCCAGCCAUGCCGCGUGAGUGAUGAAGGCCUUAGGGUUGUAAAGCUCUUUCAGCGAGGAGGAUAAUGACGUUACUCGCAGAAGAAGCCCCGGCUAACUUCGUGCCAGCAGCCGCGGUAAUACGAAGGGGCGUAGCGUUGUUCGGAAUCACUGGGCGUAAAGCGCACGUAGGCGGAUUGAUAAGUUAGGGGUGAAAUCCCGGGGCUCAACCUCGGAACUGCCUUUGAUACUGUCAGUCUUGAGUCCGAGAGAGGUGAGUGGAACUCCGAGUGUAGAGGUGAAAUUCGUAGAUAUUCGGAAGAACACCAGUGGCGAAGGCGGCUCACUGGCUCGGUACUGACGCUGAGGUGCGAAGCGUGGGGAGCAAACAGGAUUAGAUACCCUGGUAGA
Molecule: ribosomal RNA, 444 nt
Filed under: uncultured bacterium
Lineage: Bacteria
Description: bacterial SSU rRNA
Rfam family: Bacterial small subunit ribosomal RNA
Source: RNAcentral